UGGGACACAGAUGACUCAUUUCCUGUCCUAAGUGUGUCUUCUCCGAGGUGUGGAACAGAUCCUUCAGAUAUGGAGCCAGCGAAGGGGGUCAAGUCAGUGGGCCUCUGGGCCAAUUCGGACUAUGAACUCCCAGGAGGCAAGGGCUAUCAUCUGCAUCUUGCUGUCUUCCGGGUGACCUGCUUCUUUGCUUCUUUCUGCCUGGCACUGGUAGUGUCAACAACUUGCCGUGGUUGACACGUGGUCACCUGCAGUGAUUGACAGCAGGGAGAAGGAGUGGAAGCAAGAAGGCAUCAGCUAUUCACUGGCCAGUUGUGAUGGUCAGACUUCUCCUAGGCUGUGGCUCCUGUGAGAUGGCCAUAA
Molecule: long non-coding RNA, 360 nt
Organism: Alexandromys fortis (reed vole)
Lineage: Eukaryota; Metazoa; Chordata; Mammalia; Rodentia; Cricetidae
Exons: 3
Source: RefSeq, a predicted model, not a curated record